This 497-nucleotide ribosomal RNA is filed under the name uncultured bacterium. Its description in RNAcentral is "partial 16S ribosomal RNA". It matches the Rfam family "Bacterial small subunit ribosomal RNA", at positions 28 to 507 of the family's 1533-position model. The record is from RNAcentral.
GACGAACGCUGGCGGCGUGCCUAAUACAUGCAAGUCGAGCGAACAGAUGAGGAGUUUGCUCCUCCGACGUUAUCGGCGGAGGGGAGAGUAACACGUGGAUAAACUACCUAUAAGAAUGGGAUAAUUUUGGGAAACCGGAGCUAAUACCGGAUAAUAUAUUGAACUGCAUGGUUCAAUAGUGAAAGACGGUUUUGCUGUCACUUAUAGAUGGAUCCGCGCCGCAUUAUCUAGUUGGUAAGGUAACGGCUUACCAAGGCAACGAUGGGUAGCCGACCUGAAAGCGAGGACGACCACACUGGAUCAGAGGCACAGUAGAGACACCUGCAGUGAGCAACGGUAGGAAAUCUUCCGCGAGGGAGGAGUGCCUAACGGUGCGACACGGCGUAAGUGAUGAAGGUCUUCUGAUCGGAGAACUCUGAUAGUAUUAGGGAACAAAUAUGUAAGUACCUGGGCACAUCUUGACGGUACCUGGUCAGAAAGCCACGGCUAACUUCGUG